RNAcentral lists this long non-coding RNA (295 nucleotides) under Elaeis guineensis (African oil palm). RNAcentral's name for it is "long non-coding RNA (EGUI_LNC043893)". The record is from RNAcentral. Lineage: Eukaryota; Viridiplantae; Streptophyta; Magnoliopsida; Arecales; Arecaceae.
CAGCCACCAUCAUUUUCAUAGUAGCAAGUUGUAACCAAAGUUAUUUUAUUCUUCCUAUUUUACAAUGAUCUCCAACCACCAUCAUUUCUAUAGUAGCAAGAUGUAGCCAAAGUUGGUAGUAUGGGAAUAAUCUUCUUAUACCAAUCAAAGUGACCAUCUAGCAAUGAUACCCGACGUCCGAAUAGGUCGAAGGAUUGCAAAGCAUCAUUCAAGAAUCUAUUGGCAUAUGGUUACCGUAUAAUUCAUCCCUUUGAUCUAAAUGCUCAAGGUGACCUAGAGUUUUACUGCCAACCCU